UUAAGUUACAAUCAAUAAAACAGAGCAGGAAAUCAUAUAAAAAUCCUACACACAAACAACCUCGAUUGCCUCAAAAAUUUUCUUUGAACCACAGUAGAAACAUUCUUGUUAUCCCCGAAACACGCAGACAGGAAAAAUAUAAUCUUUCCACUAACAAAAGCAUCAUUAGCUCGUAAUCAUCAAGCAUCAAUUCCAAUCAGCUUAAUUAACAAAACUCACGGACAACUAAUCACCAAACUGACAAUUACACGUACAGCUCCAAAACAAACCCAGAUCCAAAAAAUUCACCACAAAUAAACUACUUGGUACUUACCACAUCUCUCCCCACAAAAGCAGUAAGACAAUUGCUAUUUGCUAGAAUGAAAUUACUUGUGACAAUCUUCCCAAUUUUACCGAACAUAAUUAAAUAUAUUCAAACUGGAUUCAUAUACUGGAUUUAAGUUUUAAAAUAAUACUUAAAGGUAUCUAAGCAUAUGUACCACGCAACACAGACUAAGCACUAAAUUAUACAGUCAUGAACUAACACUAACAU
Molecule: long non-coding RNA, 532 nt
Filed under: Daucus carota (carrot)
Lineage: Eukaryota; Viridiplantae; Streptophyta; Magnoliopsida; Apiales; Apiaceae
Description: long non-coding RNA (DCAR_LNC005411)
Source: RNAcentral